CAGUCGCCGCGGGAAUACGUAGGGUGCGAGCGUUAAUCGGAAUUACUGGGCGUAAAGCGUGCGCAGGCGGUUAUAUAAGACAGAUGUGAAAUCCCCGGGCUCAACCUGGGACCUGCAUUUGUGACUGUAUAGCUAGAGUACGGUAGAGGGGGAUGGAAUUCCGCGUGUAGCAGUGAGAUGCGUAGAUAUGCGGAGGAACACCGAUGGCGAAGGCAAUCCCCUGGACCUGUACUGACGCUCAUGCACGAAAGCGUGGGGAGCAAACAGGAUUAGAUACCCCUGUAGUCCCUGUCUCUUAUAC
This 301-nucleotide ribosomal RNA is filed under the name uncultured bacterium. Its description in RNAcentral is "partial 16S ribosomal RNA". It matches the Rfam family "Bacterial small subunit ribosomal RNA", at positions 509 to 807 of the family's 1533-position model. The record is from RNAcentral.